Molecule: unclassified non-coding RNA, 432 nt
Filed under: soil metagenome
Description: partial contains 5.8S ribosomal RNA, internal transcribed spacer 2, and large subunit ribosomal RNA
Rfam family: 5.8S ribosomal RNA (bases 1-120)
Source: RNAcentral
GAUGAAGAACGUAGCGAAAUGCGAUACGUAAUGUGAAUUGCAGAAUUCAGUGAAUCAUCGAAUCUUUGAACGCAUAUUGCGCUCUCUGGUAUUCCGGAGAGCAUGCUUGUUUGAGUAUCAGUAAACACCUCAACUUCCAUAUCUUUUUUGAAAUGGGAGUUGGACUUGAGUGAUCCCAACGCUUUUCCUCACCGAAAAGUGGCGGGUUACUUGAAAUGCAGGUGCAGCUGGACUUUUCUCUGAGCUAUAAGCAUAUCUAUUUAGUCUGCCUAAAAAACAGAUUAUUACCUUUGCUGCAGCUAACAUAAAGGAGAUUAGUUCUUGUGCUGACUGAUGCAGGAUUCACAAAGACGGCUUCGGCCGACUUUGUAAACUCGAUCUCAAAUGAAGUAAGACUACCCGCUGAACUUAAGCAUAUCAAUAAGCGGAGGA